This 1774-nucleotide ribosomal RNA is filed under the name Euplotes rariseta. Its description in RNAcentral is "partial large subunit ribosomal RNA". It matches the Rfam family "Eukaryotic large subunit ribosomal RNA", at positions 95 to 1874 of the family's 3401-position model. The record is from RNAcentral. Lineage: Eukaryota; Ciliophora; Spirotrichea; Euplotida; Euplotidae.
GAACCGGAAAUAGCCCAAGAUGAAAAUCGCUGCCUUUCAGGCACGCGAGUUGUAAUCUAAAGAGUCGUCGCUGACAGGUUCCUCUGAAGCCCAAGUGUCUUGGAAUAGACCGCCAGGGAGGGUGAAAGCCCCGUACGGCGUCGGAGGAGCGCUAGGUGGCAGCUCAAAGAGUCGAGUUGUUCGGGACUGCAGCUCUAAGUGGGAGGUAGACUUCUCCUAAGGCUAAAUAACUAUGAGAGACCGAUAGCGAACAAGUAAUGUGAAUGAAAGAUGAAAAAUUAAUUCCUUCCGUAAGAACUUUGAAUAAAAAGAGAAUUAAAGAGACCUGAAACCGUUGAGGAGGAAGCGAUAGGAAGUUUUCCAUUUGGCUGGCAGCUGGCAAAGCGGUUUUACUGCGAGUUUGCUGCCCGUCAAAGCGGUCGUUCGACUUUGCUCGCCUCAUAAUCCCCGCUGGGCCCGAGCUUCGGCAUCACUCAGUGGGAGCCUGUGGCGGGCGAGGCCGAGGGACCUUCGAUGUUUUCCUACCGACCCGUCUUGAAACACGGACCAAGGAGUCUAACAUAUACGCGAUUAUGUUGGUGUUUUUGAAACCAAACAUGAGCAAUGAAAGUGAGCGGUGCCAAUCGCAAGAUGCAGCAUCGGCCAGUUGUGAUCCUCUGGAGAAGCGUACUGGCUAUGAGCGUAUCUGUUAGGACCCGAAAGAUGGUGAACUACGCUUGAGUAGGGUGAAGCCAGGGGAAACUCUUGUGGAAGCCCGAAGCGGUACUGACGUGCAAAUCGUUCGUCAAACUUGAGUGUAGGGGCGAAAGACUAAUCGAACCAUCUAGUAGCUGGUUCCCUCCGAAGUUUCUCUCAGGAUAGCAAGGACAGUUAAAGCAGUUUUAUUAGGUAAAGAAUAAAUGAUUAGAAGAUCCGGGAGUUUUAUUAGUGUUCUCGACUUAGUUCUCAAACUCUAAAUAUUUGUAAUAACUCGGUAUUCCUUAAUUGAAGAUCGAGGUAGAAUGCUUGUCCUUAGUGGGCCAUUUUUGGUAAGCAGAACUGGCGAUGAGGGAUGAACCUAACUCCGAGUUAAGGUGCCCAACUGCACGCGCAUCAGAUACCUUAAAGGGUGUGUUGAUUCAUUAGACAGCAGGACGGUGGCCAUGGAAGUUGGAACCCGCUAAGGAGUGUGUAACAACUCACCUGCCGAAUGAAUUAGCCCCGAAAAUUUUGAUGGCUCUCCAGCGUGCGACCGAUACUCGGACAUUACAGUGAAGAUUUGACUGUAAUGAGUAGGAGAGGGCGUAGGCGUCUUGUUGAAGCUUUGAGCGUGAGCCUGAGUCGAAAGGCGUCUAGUGCAGAUCUUGGUGGUAGUAGCAAUUAUUCAAAUGAGAACUUUGAAGGCCGAAGUGGAGAAGGUUUCCAUGAGAACAGCAAUUGGUCAUGGGUGACUCGGUCCUAAGAUAUUGGUUAACACCCUUGCAAAUGGGCUUCGGCCCGCAAUCGAAGAAGGGAAAAUGAGGUUAAUAUUCCUCAAGCUGGCUAUGGAUGUCACGGUAACGUUUGUGAGCUCGGUGACACCGGCGCGUGCCUCUGGAAGAGUUAUCUUUUCUUUGUUAACAGCCAAGCGACCCUGAAAACGGAUUACCCGGAGAUGAGGGUUGCAAAGCUGGAAUAGUGUAUGUUUUCUUUCUAGACGCAAAUAGAAGCGCUCGCGACGGUCCUUGAAAAUCCGAGUGAGGUAAUUUAUUCCAUACCAGGCCGUACCAACAACCGCAUCAGGUCUCCCAAGGUU